RNAcentral lists this long non-coding RNA (2950 nucleotides) under Fragaria vesca (wild strawberry). RNAcentral describes it as "long non-coding RNA (FVES_LNC001540)". Lineage: Eukaryota; Viridiplantae; Streptophyta; Magnoliopsida; Rosales; Rosaceae. The record is from RNAcentral.
CAAAGUCAAUUCCCUUCUUCUCCUCUAGCUCAUCAUCAAUGGCCUCAUCCACCACCCAAUUCUCACUCUACCUUCUUCUCCUAACCCUCUUCUCAGCAACCCAAUCAUCCCAAUCCCUCAGAGACCUCAAACCCAAUCCCAACCAUCCAUCCACCUCACUCCAAUCAAUCACAGACGUCCAUGACCUCCUCCCCAAGUACGGCCUCCCAAGGGGUCUCUUACCCGACAACGUAAGAUCCUACACUCUCUCCGAUGACGGAACUUUCGAGAUCUAUCUCGAAAGCCCUUGUUAUGUCCACUUUGACGAGCUGGUUUACUACAACACCACCAUCAAGGGAAAGUUGAGUUUCGGCUCUGUUUCCGAUGUGUCGGGGAUUCAAGCCAAGAAGCUGUUUAUCUGGGUUUCCGUGACGGGGAUGCAUAUGGAUGAAGGUUCUGAUUCUGUUGAGUUUUACGUUGGUGCUUUGUCGGAGAAACUGCCGGCUAAACAGUUCGAGGAUGUUCCUGUUUGUAAGACCAAGGCUUGCCGAGGAGGAGCUGGAGCUGGCAUUGAGUCAAUAUGAGGUAGAUUUGGGUUUUUACUUUGAAAUAAAAAUAAUAACUUCACUGUUUUUGUGUGAAUUUUAUGGGAAAGAUUGGAUUUUUUUUGUUUUGUUUAUGUCUUUGUUUAAAGGUUGAGUUUGCUUUGGUACAGAAUGUGUUAUUGUACAUGAAGAAUCAGCUUACGAGGUUCUUAAUUAUGUGCAUUUUCUUAGUUAAGGACUUUGAAAAUUUGAUAAUUUCGGGUUUCUGAGUGAUUGAAUUUGGAAGUGUGAAAUUUGUAUGCCAUGUGUGUUGAUAACCAAGUCAAAGUGUCUCUUUUUUUUGGUGAAUAAUGUUUUCAAUUGGUAUUGUAGGCUAUUUAGAGCAUCAGUUGAAGGAUCAAAAGAUUCUUGUAGUCAGUUUAAAUAUUUAAUUGGAGAUGUCUAAUGUUAUUUGAUAAAAUCAUCUUCUAUGAUUAAUUACAAAAUAUCACACGAACUAUAAUGUUAUUUUCAUUUUCAUACCUAACUAUCAAAAACUUGUAUUUUCAUAUCUUAAGUUUCAUUCCAUUAGCAUUUUAAUACCAUGAUCACUAACAUCGUUAAAUUUUAAAAGCAUUUUCGUCAUUUCAUUAAAUGUAUCAUUUUUUACAUUUAGUUUAACAAAAUAAAUUAUUUUUUGAGGUUAUCAAAUACAAAUAGAAGAAUUUACUUUAGCAAAAAUAUUAAAAAAAUAUAUAUAAUUAAAUAUUUAUUUUUGCAACACUAGUGAUAAAAGUUAGCAUAACUCUUGUGUAUAUAUAUUUUUGGAGUUACAGGUUAAGCAAAACAAAACAAAAUAAAUUAUAUCUAAUAUCGAUAGAAAUUUUAUCAAAUUUUAUAUAAAAUGGUAUAUUUAACCAAAAAAUAGAUUAAAUAUAAAAUAUCAGAAAAAUAUGAAAUUUAAUAUAGAUACGUACUUGUAAAAAAAUAGAAAGUUCAAAGAAAUAUCGAGGAUAUCGUGGAUAUUUUAGUCCGUGAUCACAAUAACUCAUUGACUUGGGUGAAGAAAUGGUGUUCUCGAGUUUGAACUUUGAAUAAUAGCAAUGAGAAAUAUUUAAUUUUAAUAACAAUUUUUAUUUAUAAUUUUUAAUUUGAAUUAUAAGGGUAUCAUGAAUUGACAUAAAUGUCCUUGAAUAUUAUCAAAAUUUAACGGUGUUAGUGGUCAAGGUAUCAAAAUGCUAACGGAAUGAAACUAGAGUAUGAAAAUGCAAGUUUUUGAUAACUAGGUAUGAAAAUGAAAAUAACAUCAUAGUUCGGUUGGUGUUUUGUAAUUAAUCCAAAUUAAAAAAGAAAAGAAAACAAAAAGAUAGAAUUAUUAUGAGAACGAACUGCACCAUUAUCAACCAAACAAAUCAAAACACCAAAGUACGUGCAAUCACCAAGCUAGUUUCAUCAUGUUUAUAUGCACUCGUAUCAUUACAAUGAACUUUUCCAAUCAGUCUCACCUUACACCAAUUUUUGGCCAGUAGGUUUAAGAGUCAUUUGGGAUCGUACUUGCGCUAGGAAAUUACCUAGCUUUGUCGAAAUACUCUUGUAGACCAUAGUUUGGAUACUCAAUGUAUGUGUCUAGUUUGCUAACACAACCGAAAUGACUUGACACCUCACUCUCAAUUAAGGAUAUUAGUUUCUUCCUCAACCAACUGUAGCAGAUGUCAUGUUCAAUCCAAAAAAUGAAUUAAAUUUAGAUGAUGCCUUAUCUAGCUAGACUUCAAACUCCCAAACUGAAUCCUCCUAUGCAAAUUAUUUGAAUCUUUCCAUGUAUCAUUAAUCAUUUGAAUUUUGGAUGACCAAGAUUGAACCAAACUCUAAUUCUUGUGGGGCAUGUAAUUAACCAGAAACAGAAAAGAAAACAAAUGUCUUUCGCAAUUGACAUCAUCAUAUGCUCUCUAUAGGAAAUUUCCCUCCAACAAGCAACACCCGUACCAACCGCCCAUUCCCACCAAUAAUGAAACAAUUCCUCUUCCAAUCUUACCCUUCUCUACUCUUCUAAAUUACUCCUCCUCUGUUCUGUUCUGUUCUUAACCCAAAGUCAAUUCCCUUAUUCUCCUCUAGCUCAUCAUCAAUGGCCUCAUCCACCACCCAAUUCUCUCUCUACCUUCUUCUCCUAACCCUCUUCUCAGCAACCCAAUCAUCCCAAUCCCUCAGAGACCUCAAACCCAAUACCAGCCGUCCAUCCACGUCACUCCAAUCAAUCACAGACGUCCAUGACCUCCUCCCCAAGUACGGCCUCCCAAGGGGUCUCUUACCCGACAACGUAAGAUCCUACACUCUCUCCGAUGACGGAACUUUCGAGAUCUAUCUCGAAAGCCCUUGUUAUGUCCACUUUGACCAGCUGGUCUACUACAACAAGGACAUCAAGGGAAAGUUGAGUUUCGGCUCUGUUUCCG